CCCUUAGAUGUUCUGGGCCGCACGCGCGCUACACUGAUGCAUUCAACGAGCACCCGCUGGGCCGAGAGGUCCGGCUAAUCUUUGAACGUGCAUCGUGCUGGGGAUAGAUGAUUGCAAUUAUUCAUCUUCAACGAGGAAUUCCUAGUAAACGCAAGUCAUCAGCUUGCAUUGAUUACGUCCCUGCCCUUUGUACACACCGCCCGUCGCACCUGCCGAUUGAAUGGUCCGGUGAAAUUCUCGGACGCGGACUAGCGAUGUUAAUUCGGAGCUUGACUGUGAAAGUUAAUUAAACCUUACCAUUUAGAGGAAGGUGAAGUCGUAACA
Molecule: ribosomal RNA, 324 nt
Filed under: uncultured eukaryote
Lineage: Eukaryota
Description: partial 18S ribosomal RNA
Rfam family: Eukaryotic small subunit ribosomal RNA
Source: RNAcentral